AUUGAACGCUGGCGGCAGGCUUAACACAUGCAAGUCGAGCGGGGGAAGGUAGCUUGCUACUGGACCUAGCGGCGGACGGGUGAGUAAUGCUUAGGAAUCUGCCUAUUAGUGGGGGACAACAUCUCGAAAGGGAUGCUAAUACCGCAUACGUCCUACGGGAGAAAGCAGGGGAUCUUCGGACCUUGCGCUAAUAGAUGAGCCUAAGUCGGAUUAGCUAGUUGGUGGGGUAAAGGCCUACCAAGGCGACGAUCUGUAGCGGGUCUGAGAGGAUGAUCCGCCACACUGGGACUGAGACACGGCCCAGACUCCUACGGGAGGCAGCAGUGGGGAAUAUUGGACAAUGGGGGGAACCCUGAUCCAGCCAUGCCGCGUGUGUGAAGAAGGCCUUAUGGUUGUAAAGCACUUUAAGCGAGGAGGAGGCUACUUUAGUUAAUACCUAGAGAUAGUGGACGUUACU
RNAcentral lists this ribosomal RNA (457 nucleotides) under Acinetobacter baumannii OIFC032. RNAcentral's name for it is "bacterial SSU rRNA". It matches the Rfam family "Bacterial small subunit ribosomal RNA", at positions 30 to 479 of the family's 1533-position model. Lineage: Bacteria; Pseudomonadati; Pseudomonadota; Gammaproteobacteria; Moraxellales; Moraxellaceae. The record is from RNAcentral.